RNAcentral lists this ribosomal RNA (449 nucleotides) under uncultured bacterium. Its description in RNAcentral is "partial 16S ribosomal RNA". It matches the Rfam family "Bacterial small subunit ribosomal RNA", at positions 29 to 523 of the family's 1533-position model. The record is from RNAcentral.
AGCGAACAUUGGCGGUAGGCUUAACACAUGCAAGUCGAGCGAGGCGUAAUAGUCGAGCGGCGAACGGGUGAGUAACACGUGGGAAUCUACCUCGAAGUGGGGGAUAACGUCCAGAAAUGGACGCUAAUACCGCAUAAUCCAUAUUGGGAAAGCGCGCUGCGCUUUGAGAUGAGCCCAUGGCUGAUUAGAUAGUUGGUGAGGUAACGGCUUACCAAGGCGACGAUCAGUAGCUGGUCUGAGAGGAUGAUCAGCCACACUGGAAGUGAGACACGGUCCAGACUCAUACGGGAGGCAGCAGUGGGGAAUCUUGCGCAAUGGGGGCAACCCUGACGCAGCCAUACCGCGUGUGUGAUGAAGGUCUUCGGAUUGUAAAGCACUUUCAGUAGGGACGACGAUGACGGUACCUACAGAAGAAGUCACGGCUAACUUCGUGCCAGCAGCCGCCGCAG